RNAcentral lists this ribosomal RNA (253 nucleotides) under uncultured bacterium. RNAcentral describes it as "partial 16S ribosomal RNA". It matches the Rfam family "Bacterial small subunit ribosomal RNA", at positions 524 to 776 of the family's 1533-position model. The record is from RNAcentral.
UACGUAGGGUGCGAGCGUUAAUCGGAAUUACUGGGCGUAAAGCGUGCGCAGGCGGUUCGUUAAGACAGAUGUGAAAUCCCCGGGCUUAACCUGGGAACUGCAUUUGUGACUGGCGAGCUAGAGUAUGGCAGAGGGGGGUAGAAUUCCACGUGUAGCAGUGAAAUGCGUAGAGAUGUGGAGGAAUACCGAUGGCGAAGGCAGCCCCCUUGGCCAAUACUGACGCUCAUGCACGAAAGCGUGGGGAGCAAACAGG